GAUGAACGCUAGCUACAGGCUUAACACACGCAAGUCGAGGGGUAACGAGAGGAAAGCUUGCUUUCCUUGUCGACGACCGGCGCGCGGGUGAGUAACGCGUAUCCAACCUGCCCCCAACUAGGGAAUAACCUUGCGAAAGUAAGAUUAAUACCCUAUAAUUUCCUCAGAUGCCAUCUGACGAGGAAUAAAGAUUUAUCGGUUGUGGAUGGGGAUGCGUCUGAUUAGCUUGUUGGCGGGGUAACGGCCCACCAAGGCAACGAUCAGUAGGGGUUCUGAGAGGAAGGUCCCCCACAUUGGAACUGAGACACGGUCCAAACUCCUACGGGAGGCAGCAGUGAGGAAUAUUGGUCAAUGGGCGGAAGCCUGAACCAGCCAAGUAGCGUGCAGGAUGACGGCCCUAUGGGUUGUAAACUGCUUUUAUACAGGAAUAAAGUUAGCCACGUGUGGUUAUUUGUAGGUACUGUAUGAAUAAGGACCGGCUAAUUCCGUGCCAGCCGCCGCGGUAA
RNAcentral lists this ribosomal RNA (506 nucleotides) under uncultured bacterium. Its description in RNAcentral is "partial 16S ribosomal RNA". It matches the Rfam family "Bacterial small subunit ribosomal RNA", at positions 28 to 523 of the family's 1533-position model. The record is from RNAcentral.